Molecule: long non-coding RNA, 4984 nt
Filed under: Homo sapiens (human)
Lineage: Eukaryota; Metazoa; Chordata; Mammalia; Primates; Hominidae
Description: non-protein coding LINC00200:7
Source: RNAcentral
GAGGGAUGGCGCCGGCGCAGGCCUGCGCGCCACGCGCUUUAGGUGGAUGAGGGAUGGCGCAGGUGCAGGCCUGCGCGCCUCACGCUUUAUGUACAUGAGGGAUGAGGCAGCACAGGAAUUGGCACAACCUGAAGUCAGCUCUGCAGCUUUCCAAGCUUCGUUCUGCGUGUCCUGUACUCAACAGUCAUCUCAUGCUGCAGGGUGGCUGCGUGUGCUCCGUACAUCACACCCAUAUUUCAGGGAGAAGACUGCACAUAUAACACAGCUCUGCAUGGAAAACCUUCCGCCUGGAGGGGUGGCUUCCUAGAGGUGUGGCGUUGCCCUCUGUCUUGAACAGGCUGUGAGCCGUUUUGUCAUUUGGGGUUUCUAGAUGCAAACAGCAGAAGCUGCUGGCCAAUUACCAAAGGGAACGUGCUGUUAGGAUAUCAGGGCCUGGGAGCUGCAGCAAUGUGGGCUGACAGCAGAGAGCUAAGGCACUUUCCGAGGUGACGAGCUGGGCUGCUAUGCUGGAGACGGCUGGGCAGAAGCAGUUAGCAGGGCAUUUCCUUGUGUCCUUAUCUCAAGAGUCACAGUUUCAGGAGUGAGCAUCUCAGAGGUCAGGGUUCAUUCACAUGCCACCUCCCUUCUCACUGUGUCAUUGGGGAGGGGCCGUCUGGACCCUCUGGCUCCUGUGGCAAGAAAUGGUCCCAUCAAGUCAUCCAAGGGCCUGGAAGCCUCCCAAGGAAAGCAGGAGGGCUGGGUGCUGAGCAGCGUCCAGCAGCAAAGGUAGGCUCCAGCCCCGCAGGUGUGGCUGCGCCAUCCCAGGGAACGUGCCCCAGCAAGUGCUGGUGCUGCUCUCACUACAGGUGGGGUUGGUUUCACUGGACAGGUGGCACUUCCUCACCUCUUGCCCUCUGGACCCACGGCAGGCACUUUCCAGGGCACAUCACGUGGGUGUGCGGUCUGGCUGCUGGGUCCACGCGGGUUCUCAAUCAUGACCUGGCUUGCAAGCUCUUUCCACAGUUGGAUAAAUGAAGCCGUUGGGGAAGUAUCCGCAAACUCUUACAGUGAGUAUGUGAUAAUGACACACGCGUGGCCCUUCUAAGACCUCCGCUAGGCAUUAUCAGUGACUGUGCUCGUGAGCGCUGACCUCCGCUAGGCGUUAUCAGGGACUGUGCUCGUGAGCGCCGACCUCCGCUAGGCGUUAUCAGGGACUGUGCUCGUGAGCGCGGACCUCCGCUAGGCGAUAUCAGGGACUGUGCUCAUGAGGGCGGACUUUCACCAGCCACGCUUCCGAGGAGUGGAGUCUUUCUCAGCUCUGCCUCUCCAAGAUGACCAUCUUGUGAAGACGAUGCGUUCUUUAUACACAAGUUCUGUGUGUGUGUGUGUGUGUUCCACACACAGGACCAAAGUUGAGAUAGGCGCACAUUUUCUUGGUCCCACUUGUGGCCCCAGUCGGCUGUCAGAAGUGGGUGUGCUCCACAUGUACCCACCAUGUCAGGGCACAGUGCUCACAUUUCACACCUCAGCAGGUGCCUUGAUGUUGACCAGAGGCCCCAAAAUCAUCUCUUUCUAUGACUUCUAGAUCUUAGAUUCCCAGGAACUGGGAAAUGCAGUCAGUAUCUUUUGGGUCCAAGAAACUUUGUCAGAGCCCUUGUGGGAGAACCAUAGAUUCUCACCAGAUAAACAGAAGAGCUUCGUGUUAGAGAAACCCGCCUGUCUCCCCACAUUCUCAGUUUUCUGGAGAGCAGCUGAAAGCCAUCUGGGUGGAGAUUAAGAGCUCCAACCGUGUAGCUUUGAUGUAUCGGGCAAGUUGCUUAAGCUCUUUAAUGCUGUUUCCUCAUUUAUUGUGUGAGGCCAAAAAUACCCAUUCCUUAAAGUUGUGAGGAUUAAAAACAGUAAUGAAAAGUGAGUGGCAAGUGCCGAGUACACAGUCAAGUACCUGAUACUUUUUAGUGUAAGGUAAGUAGCAAGAAAGCAUGAAAUUUAUUUUCAUUUACUCUUACUACAUGUGGUAAACCAUCUAUGCACAGAGCACUGCAUUGGGUGCCAUGAAUGACAGAAUAAGAGUACCAGGUGCAUGAAAAGCUUAAAAGACAAAUGAGACAGAGCUAGGCUGCAGAAGACUUAAAAAGUUGAUGUAUUUAACUUUUAAUGGACACACUGUACAUGUUUAUGGGGUACGAUUUGUUGUUUCCAUGCAUAUCUGUGUUGUGUAAUGAUCCAAUCAGGGUAGUGUGUGUGCCCAUUUCCUCAAGGGUGGAUCAUUAUGUGUAUCAUCGUGCAUCAUCAUGUAUCAUGCAUGUACCAUCAUCAUGCAUCAUUGUGCAUCAUCAUGCCUGUAUCAUUAUGUAUCACCUCAUGCAUAUAUUAUAAUGUAUCACCUCAUGCGUGUAUUAUCAUGUAUCACCAUGCAUGUAUUGUGCAUGUGCCAUCAUCAUGCAUCAUUGUGCAUCAUCAUGCCUGUAUCAUUAAUCACCUCAUGCAUAUAUUAUAAUGUGUCACCUCAUGCGUGUUUUAUCAUGUAUCACCAUGCAUGUAUUGUGCAUGUACCAUCAUCAUGCAUCAUUGUGCAUCAUCAUGUCUGUAUCAUUAAUCACCUCAUGCAUAUAUUAUAAUGUGUCACCUCAUGCGUGUAUUAUCAUGUAUCACCAUGCAUGUAUUGUGCAUGUACCAUCAUCAUGCAUCAUUAGGCAUCAUUGUGCAUGUAUCAUCACCUCAUGCAUGUAUUAUGUAUCACCUCAUGCAUGUAUCAUGCAUGUACCAUCAUCAUGUAUCAUUAUGCAUCAUUGUGCAUGUAUCACUGUGUAUCAUGCAUGUGUCAUCAUGCAUCGCCCCAUGCGUGUAUCAUUUCUUUGUGGUGAGAACACUCAGAAGCCUCUCAUCUCGCUAUCUUGUCAUAUAUGCUAUUUUAUUGUUAACCAAAGUCAGCCUAUUGUGCAGUAGAACAAUCUCUCCUCAUCCCCUGUCCUCAUCCUCCCCUCCCAAGCUUCCAUAACCACUGUUUACUCUCUGCUCCUAGGAGAUCAACUUAAAAUUUUGUGUUAUUUUUGGAUUUCACAUACAAGAAAUCCAUACAAGAGCUCCAUAUGAGAUCGCUCAGUACCUGUUUCUCUGUACCUGGCUUAUUUCGCUUAACAUGAUGUCCAAGCUCAUCCAUAUUGUCACAGAUGCUGGGAUAUCAUUUUUUUCAUGGGAGAAUGGUAUUCCAUUGUGUAUCUACACCACAUUUUCUUUAUUCAUUCUCCGUUGUUGGGCACCAAGGGCGAUUCCAUACCUUGGUGAUUAUGAACAGUGCUGCGAUAAGUGUGGGGGUGCCGAUGUCUCCUCAACCCAUGGAUUUCCUGUCACCUGGGUCUUUACCCAGCAAUGGGUUGCUGAGUCCCAUGGUAGUUCUAUUUGUGUUUUUUUGAGGAACCUCUCUGCUGUUUUCCUGAGUGGCUGUAGAGAGCUAUAGAACUUUAGGUCUGUGAGAGAUAAGUCCUCCAGUACACAUGCCAUUUUCAGAAGGGCAAACUGUAGCCCAGGAAGGUCAGGUGCCUUGACCAAGGCAGGCACAGUGAGAAAGAGGCAGUGUUAGGACCGCAACUGAUUUUCCUCUCCAGUCUCUUUUGUGAAGAUUGGAUGCUAAGGUCAUAUAGGAAGCACUAUGGAAUAUGUAGGAGGUGCUCAGUCUGUUUUGUGAAGAUUGUAUGCCAAGGUCAUAUGGGAAGCACUAUGCAUUAUGUAGUAGGUGCUGUGUGCCAUACAUUAAGAUUACAUUGUAAAUAGCAGGCACUAUGUAUUGUAUAUUAGCAUGAUGCACUGGGUCCUGUUGUCUGGGAGCCUGGCACCUGGCAGCUUCAAAGAACUUACAAGGUCCACAGGAAGGAACCUGGGACAGCCCAGGGAGCAUCACUGAAAGAAUUGGCCUGGAACAGAAGCCCCACAGCUCACCUGGGGGGAGCAGGGGGAGGAUAGGGGUGAGGAGGGAGAGGACCAGGGGAGCAGCGGGAGGACCAGGGGUGCAGGACGAGCACUGGGGGUGCACGGGAGAGCAGGGUGCAAGGACCUUGCUGGCUGAGAAGACAGCGGGAAUGGCGGGUCCUGGGAGAGGGGAGGAGGGGAGGCAGGCCACCAGCCACCCUGACUUCAGCCAGGAGACCCAUUUCAGAGGCUCAAAGGGUGGAGAUGGUGCAGCCAUAGUGGGAAGCUGAGCCCCAUGCUGGAUGCUCAGAUUGAGGGGGCUCCUGAGGGGCUGCGUUCCUCUCUCCAGGGGCCGUGGGACGGUGGCUGCUCAUCUCACAGGUAUUUAUUGGGUUUUUCACCACCUGCCAGGACUUUGCUGCCCACGUCACACAUUUCAUGUAACCUGUAGGUGUAGAGGCCUCAUUUUCAGACAAAGAUGAACUAAGAAAGUGUCUUCUCGGAGGUCACGGCUGGAGCCAGAUGGUCAGGCUCAGGCUGGGGCUGGCUUCCCUCGAUGUGAUGCACGGCUCCCAUGUCACGUUUCCCUGACUAUCAGGAGCUCCCAGAGGCCAAGGAUGGGGUGGCCGCCUGGACAAUUCAGACCUAAGGAAGGGCUCCUGGCCUCUUCCCUGAGAGCCUCUAAGCUGACUGCUCUCUUCCUGCUCAGCAGCUCAUGAUCCCCGGUGGCUUCCUUGAGCUGGGACUUGACUGAAACCCCUGGGACUGGCCCUCCAGCCACCCUGACUUCAGGGGGUCGAGGUGCUCACUGGGCCAGUGCUCAGGAGGCUCCGUGCCAGCUGGAACACCGGGAAACCCUCUAUCUGAAUCUUUGACCCAGGGAGGAGCCUGGAGAGGGCACAAUUGAUAUUCUCAGGUUUUUUAAUCCUUUAAGAAGAAAAGAUAAUUAAAAAAAUCUUUUCACUCAAGAAGCAUACGAUAGAAUAUGGUGAUACAGACAAAGGGUAGGCCCACUGAUUCGAAAAUUACAGAUUGAAUCCCUGAGACAAAUAUCUCCCCUGCUUUCAGGUAGAUUACUGUCUACAGGUGGGAUAACCAU